Molecule: ribosomal RNA, 305 nt
Filed under: uncultured bacterium
Lineage: Bacteria
Description: bacterial SSU rRNA
Rfam family: Bacterial small subunit ribosomal RNA
Source: RNAcentral
GCCUACGGGACGCAGCAGUGGGGAAUAUUGGGCAAUGGCCGUAAGGCUGAACCAGCCAAGUCGCGUGAAGGAAGAAGGCUCUAUGGGUUGUAAACUUCUUUUAUAGGGGAAUAAAGGUAUCCACGUGUGGAUAUUUGCAUGUACCCUAUGAAUAAGCAUCGGCUAACUCCGUGCCAGCAGCCGCGGUAAUACGGAGGAUGCGAGCGUUAUCCGGAUUUAUUGGGUUUAAAGGGAGCGUAGGUUGUUUUUUAAGUCAGCGGUGAAAGUUUGUGGCUCAACCGUAAAAUUGCCGUUGAAACUGGAAG